Molecule: long non-coding RNA, 2733 nt
Organism: Mauremys reevesii (Reeves's turtle)
Lineage: Eukaryota; Metazoa; Chordata; Testudines; Geoemydidae
Exons: 4
Source: RefSeq, a predicted model, not a curated record
GGGGCCGGCGGGCUGCCAAUCAGAGAGGGCGCUGCCAGGUGGGCUCACGUGCCCGCCUGCCAAUGGCAGGGCCGCGGGGGGGGGCGGCUACGUGCCCGCAGGAACUGUUUUUCACACUGGAAGGACAUGCUAGGAGAAGCCCAUAAACUGUUUUGUCAAGGUUUUGUUAAAAAUGAAAUGCAAAGUAGCAAUACACCACUCUAGUAUGUGCAUCCUAAUAGGCGAUGGAUAUGCUUUUCAGGUGGCUAAAGGUUAGAAACAUUAAGAAUGUUCUAUUGCUUCGUCACGGCUCGAGGAUCACUUUGAACACAACACAGGUUUGGCCGAUCGUGGCGCCCACUGGCAUCCCUACUUCCUCCUGCACAAGGGACUAUCGGGAGACAUAGGAGCCAGCUACACUGGGUCUGCAUUGACUGGGGACUUCUCCAUGUUGGGGGAAUCCCAAGCAGGGGACUUGAAGGUGGCAUCUCCUCCCUUUGCACUGUGUCAGCAGAACAGGGCAGAGAAUCUGACCCAAAGUAUUAGUUGUGGCCUCUGUGAGCGGCAUUGGCCCCCUCAAUACUAUUCUGCCUCCACGGUGCCAGGCAGUUCAGCAAAGUUACCCGACUUUAUCAGCAAAGUCACGGGGACAUUCUACCCAGUGAGAAGCACUCAGCUGUAACUGGCGGGAAGAGGGGGCAAUGCAGACUAGCCGAGCUGUUCGCCAUCUGGAGGGAUUCUGCUGCACAGCUGCUCAGGGACUGUAGGGUGGGGGAAAGGAGCUAGUUCUUCACAUUGUGCAUCGCCCCACAGAAGACUCUGAAUAGGUUCUGUGCUGCAGCUGGUCUGACUCAACCGGAGACUUUUCUGCCACUGGCCAUCUCCCUUCUUGGUUCACCUGUUGCAGAUUAUCAUGUAACAUCAUGAUCAACUACAGGGAUCUGUGAGAGCAAAACCAGUAGAGGUGGCUUGGGGGUGGUCACUCUAUUGCUAGUGGAGGAGACAAAUCCAUUCUAAACUGCCCCAAGCCACCGCCAGAGUGAUUGUCACGCAGCCAUGAAAUGCUGAGCCGAUCCAGCACCAGGAGCUACCUAGCGUUAGCUCAACUAAAGCGUUUAGGAAGUAGAGAGGUGUGCAGCCUUCACCCCAGCCCUGUCUCAGGACUCACACACAUGAUGGAUGUACCGAGUCCAACCUAGCUUUGGACUAGGAGACCUCCUGCACUGGAGGCAAAGAGCACAACUCUAUCACCUCUCAAAUCCACCCCUGCCAGUGCCUCCUGCUGAACGACAUACCAUGGGUGGGAACUACAGUCCAACUGGGUCAUUGAACCAUAUUACAUGUGCCAGUUCCAGGGCCUCCUCCUUUGUCAAGUCACACACAGCAGUGACUCUACUAGCCAGCAGCUGAGCAUCAACCAGCAUUAGUCCAGGCUAGAGAUGGGAGCUUAGCACAAUCAUCAUCAUCAUACCUAACUCUUCUAUAGCGCUUUUCAUCACUAGAUCUCAGCGUUUAUCCUUACAACACCCCACAGGGCCAGAGAGCAUCCAGGGACAGGCAGUCUGCAUGAGGCGCUGGUUGCAUCUCUGGAGUUUGGGGCUUAUUUCAGAACUUCCAGUCUAAGCAGGAUCACCCAGACUUGGCAAAAGUCACUGCUUGCAUUCCUUCCAUGCAGCAUACAGCCAGCAAACUCCAAAACAAACCAGCUAACAGGCUCGCUCUCCCGUCUGCCCAGAGCUCCUUGCCCUCGCUGCUGGGUAGCAUACCUCCAUCUCCCCCAUGCCAAGAGCUAUACAAGGGCAAUUUUUCACAUCAGUGCUAUAUUUCACCUUGUGGCAUAUAUUGAGCCUGAUUCUCAUUUACACGCAGGCCCCUGGGCACCACUCUGGCAGCACAGAAGGGCUUGAAAUUUGCAUAAAUUACAUUUGUGUCCAAUCUAAGGCACCUUUACAUUGCCAGAGCAGCGUGAAAGGGUCUUGGUGUAAACAAGAAUCGGGCCCUUUAGGUUUGGUUUCUUUAAUAAAAAUACAAGGAAAUGAUGAAGCAUUUCCCUGCUUUUUGGUUUCUCCAUCAGCUUGUCAUCCAGCAAAAUAUUCAUCUGUGAGGCCUCUUACCAAAACACAAUGGGGUAAAUUGCAGGUUUGCCCAGAGGACAGCACACAGACUAGGAGCCAGUCAGAGUCACCAUGCGCCAAGGGUAGGGAGGUGGGGGGAGUACUCUGUGCCAAUCUUAUACCUGGCACAGAUGACAUCCCUGGUGUGCCAGAGCAGCUGCUGGCAUGCUGCGGGGCCAGCCCCCUCCUUGCUGAUGACCAGUAUAUUCGGGGCUCAUAUAUAUGUAUCAUUCACACCACCCAAUACCAAUAUAUGGCCUAAAUUGGCCCAGGCCUUUUUAUAAGUAUCCCAUAACACCUGGCAUUAGCUGAAGUAAGUUUUGGCUUAAGCAGAUAGGAAAACUGUCAGGAGCAGAACAUAUGGGCAUUUUACCAUAGCAACAGGUAGGGAGUUACUCUCACAGACCAGCACGGGAACGUCUCAAAGGAAAAAGGGAAGACAUACGAGUGUUCUACCCUAGGAGGUGCCUUCACGCCCUCUUGGUCCAUGGAAUGCGUGUGUUCAGAGCAAAGAGAUAAGGGGGACGUACACCCUGGCACCAGAAAAACAAGGUAAUAAGCUGAUUGGUCAAAUCUAGUUUCAGAUGAUGCAACCAGUAUCUAUUACUUGUAAACAGGUUGGGCAUAAGAAGAUGGCUGG